GUCUCUAUUAUUUUUCCUUUCUCUUUCCAUGUUUUUUUUUUCUUUAUUUUAUAUCUGGUUCUUUGUGAGGCUUCGUUUUCUUUACUUUCUGUUUGAAGUUUAGAUCUCAAAAAGCAACGAAUCCCGAAUCUAAUAAGUUACUUUGGAUUCAUCCUCCAACCAUUGACUUUAUCUUGUUUCGGCAGAAACUUCAACACUUGGCUUCACAUGACAUGACACACUCGGAAUCUAAAACCACCAUAGCUCCACUCUUCUACUGCCACUUGCUUGCGAAGUUGGAACAACCAUGAUGCUCCACUCAGCUUUUCUAUCAUCUGGCUUUGUUGUUCACAUAUUGCUCCAAAGCGUGUUCACUCAAAAACUGUUGAUCAAUACUCACAGUUCUUGACAAUUACUAGUUUGGAUGGGAAGGACAAACAUUGAUUUGGGUUUCUGUUAAUGGCAUCUAUUAGAAGAACUUUGUCUCCAGUGCCUCGAGCCGGAGGCGUGGCUAAUCUAGAAGUGUGUUCAGUAGGAUCUCCCUUGUCUAAGUCCUCGUCGAGUCCUCAUAGCUCAGCGUUCGUGCUCGGCGUUUUCUCGCCGAGAUCUUUGAGGGCACUUGAGAGGUCAAAGCCAAAGGGCCAGCUCUGGAGGAAAGUGCUUUUGCAUUUUUUCAUUUGCUUCAUGAUUGGUGUUUCCAUUGGAUUCAUCCCUCUUGCAUCAAGGAACUUGUCCACUAGUCUCAUGCCAAAGCACCAAGCAUUCUCUUUUGAAAAUACCAAGAUAGAUUUGACUUCAUCAAUUAAUGAGACCACGGAAUUUAAUGCUACUUUGAAUUUAGCUGUGAAAGAACAGCAACAGAUAGAUAAAGUGAGAAAUGAUGUUUCCAAUGACAAAUUACUCAAUGAAGAGCCAUAUUUGGAGUCUCAGAAGCUUCUCAUAAUUGUGACCCAAACAGUAACCAAUCCGUUUCAAGCAUAUUAUUUGCAUCGGUUGGCGCAGACUUUGAAAUUGGUCUCGCCUCCAUUGUUGUGGAUUGUUGUUGAGAUGACUUCCCAAUCUGAAGAAACUGCUGAAAUCUUGAGGAGUAGUGGGAUUAUGUAUAGGCAUCUCGUUUGCAAGUCGAAUGUAACAGACACGAGCCUACAGGGCAUUCUUCAAAGAAAUGUUGCGCUGUCUCACAUUGAAACUCACCGGCUUGAUGGAAUUGUUUACUUUGCAGAUGUUGAUAACAUCUAUUCAGUCGAGAUCUUUCAGCAAAUCAGAGAGAUAAGGCGGUUCGGAACAUGGACUGUAGCAAAACUAUCAGGGGAUAAAGGUAGCAUUGUCUUACAAGGGCCUGUUUGUGAUGGAGCUCGAGUAAUCGGAUGGCAUGUCAAUGAAUCGAAUAGGAGAUCGAAAAGAUUUCACAUUGAGAUGCCAGGUUUUGCCUUCAAUAGUACGAUACUCUGGGAUCCAAAGAGGUGGCACAGACCUACACUUGAACCUAUCAGGCAGCUAGACUCAGUUAAGGAAAGUUUUCGGGUUAGCACAUUGAUCGAGCAAGUGGUCGAAGACGAAAGCCAAAUGGAAGGCUUAAUGAACAAUUGCUCUAGUGUUAUGGUCUGGCAUAUUGAUCUUGAACCAUCUCAUUCUUUCUAUCCACAGAAAUGGAUGAUCAAGAACUACCUAGAUGUCAUUCUUCCACUUGUGUGAUAUUCUUGAUAAAGAAGCAAUCAAGCAGAAAAUCUGCAUAUUUAAUGAUUGCCUUUGAUAGCUAAAGGGAAAAAUAUGAAGAAUUAUGGUGAAUGUUGGUAGUGGCACAAUUGUGAGUUAUGAAAGGACUCCUACAAGUAGUUCAUAGUUCAUUGUAUUCCCCCUAAAAUGUACAUUAUAUCAGAGUUUGUAUUAGUAGUCCUUGUUCAUUCAACAUUUGGAGCAUGUUUCUCAAUUGUAAGAGUUCAUUGCAGUGCCAUAAGGAAAGGAAUGUUCCAUUGGCCCUUUUGGUUC
RNA transcript from Arachis duranensis, 1968 nucleotides. It is a transcript of the gene named probable beta-1,4-xylosyltransferase IRX9H, with no coding region annotated. The record is from RefSeq and is a predicted model, not a curated record. The transcript is spliced from 6 exons. Lineage: Eukaryota; Viridiplantae; Streptophyta; Magnoliopsida; Fabales; Fabaceae.